This 59-nucleotide transfer RNA is filed under the name Heterocephalus glaber (naked mole-rat). It matches the Rfam family "tRNA", at positions 8 to 63 of the family's 71-position model. From Rfam's summary of the family: Transfer RNA (tRNA) molecules are approximately 80 nucleotides in length. Their secondary structure includes four short double-helical elements and three loops (D, anti-codon, and T loops). Further hydrogen bonds mediate the characteristic L-shaped molecular structure. tRNAs have two regions of fundamental functional importance: the anti-codon, which is responsible for specific mRNA codon recognition, and the 3' end, to which the tRNAs corresponding amino acid is attached (by aminoacyl-tRNA synthetases). tRNAs cope with the degeneracy of the genetic code in two manners: having more than one tRNA (with a specific anti-codon) for a particular amino acid; and 'wobble' base-pairing, i.e. permitting non-standard base-pairing at the 3rd anti-codon position. Lineage: Eukaryota; Metazoa; Chordata; Mammalia; Rodentia; Bathyergidae. The record is from Rfam by way of RNAcentral.
UGGCUUACUUUGUUAAAGUACCUGUCUAGUAAACAGGAGGUCCUGGGUUCAAGUUCCAG